Molecule: signal recognition particle RNA, 298 nt
Filed under: Saimiri boliviensis boliviensis (Bolivian squirrel monkey)
Lineage: Eukaryota; Metazoa; Chordata; Mammalia; Primates; Cebidae
Description: Metazoan signal recognition particle RNA (ENSSBOG00000012935.1)
Rfam family: Metazoan signal recognition particle RNA
About the family: The signal recognition particle (SRP) is a universally conserved ribonucleoprotein.
Source: RNAcentral
ACCAGGCGUGGUGGCAUGUACCUGUAGUCUCGGCUACUCAGAGGCUGAGGCUGGAGGAUCGCUUGAGCCCAGGAGUUCUGGGCUGUAGUGCGCUAUGCCGAUAGGACAUCUGCAUCAAGUUUGGCAUCAAUAUGGUGACCUCCCAUGAGCAGGGGACCACCAGGUUGCCUAAGGAGGGGUGAACUGGCCCAGGUCGGAAACGGAGCAGUUCAAAACUCCUUUGCUGAUCUGUAGUAGGAUCAUGUCUGUAAACAGCCACUGCACUCCAGCCUGGGCAACAUAUCAUGAUCAUGUCUCA